This 407-nucleotide ribosomal RNA is filed under the name uncultured bacterium. RNAcentral describes it as "bacterial SSU rRNA". It matches the Rfam family "Bacterial small subunit ribosomal RNA", at positions 394 to 796 of the family's 1533-position model. The record is from RNAcentral.
ACGCCGCGUGGGUGAUGAAGGCUUCGGGUCGUAAAGCCCUGUCAGGUGGGAAGAAACUCGUGGAUGCUAAUAUCAUCCACGCUUGACGGUACCACCGGAGGAAGCACCGGCUAACUCCGUGCCAGCAGCCGCGGUAAUACGGAGGGUGCAAGCGUUGUUCGGAAUUAUUGGGCGUAAAGCGCGUGUAGGCGGUCGGGUAAGUCAGAUGUGAAAGCCUUCUGCUUAACAGAAGAAGUGCAUUUGAAACUGCCCGGCUAGAGUACGGGAGAGGAGAGUGGAAUUCCCGGUGUAGAGGUGAAAUUCGUAGAUAUCGGGGAGGACACCAGUGGCGAAGCGGCUCUCUGGUCCGAUACUGACGCUGGGACGCGAAAGCGUGGGGACAAACAGGAUUAGAUCCCUGGUAGUCC